GGGCGGGAGAGCGGCGGGGGCGCACAGGCGCCGCACCGCCCGCCGAAGGAGCAACCCCUCCCGGGAACCUCUCAGGCACCCGUACCGUCC
This 90-nucleotide non-coding RNA is filed under the name marine eukaryotic metagenome. Its description in RNAcentral is "Glycine riboswitch". It matches the Rfam family "Glycine riboswitch aptamer", at positions 10 to 85 of the family's 94-position model. From Rfam's summary of the family: This family represents the bacterial glycine riboswitch. Glycine riboswitches usually consist of two metabolite-binding aptamers domains with similar structures in tandem. The record is from RNAcentral.